UGCCCCUGCACGUACAUAAGACUCCUAUCACCCGCCUGGUGAGGAGUGGGCUUAACGUUUAGUGCGCUAAGCAGCUUCAGACAUCCCAUGGAAGCUUCGUUGCCAUGCUCCUGUUGCUCCAACAUGGCGCUCAUGGCUUUCCGCUGUGGGCAGUCCCUCGCCCAGUGAGGUCCCUGACAUAGGAAGCAACCCUCCCUUGGUUUGGCCUCCUUUUUGU
Molecule: long non-coding RNA, 217 nt
Filed under: Nicotiana benthamiana
Lineage: Eukaryota; Viridiplantae; Streptophyta; Magnoliopsida; Solanales; Solanaceae
Description: long non-coding RNA (NBEN_LNC007928)
Source: RNAcentral